UACGGAGGGUGCAAGCAUUAAUCGGAUUUAUUGGGCGUAAAGGGCGCGUAGGCGGGUAGAUAAGUCAGAUGUGAAAUCCCGGGGUUCAACCCCGGAACAGCAUAUGAAACUACCGAUCUAGAGGGUAGGCGGAGAAAAUAGAAUUCCACAAGUAGCGGUGAAAUGCGUAGAUAUGUGGAAGAAUACCGGUGGCGAAGGCGAUUUUCUAGCUUAUACCUGUCGCUGAGGCGCGAAAGCACAUGGAUCAAACAGG
This 253-nucleotide ribosomal RNA is filed under the name uncultured bacterium. Its description in RNAcentral is "partial 16S ribosomal RNA". It matches the Rfam family "Bacterial small subunit ribosomal RNA", at positions 524 to 776 of the family's 1533-position model. The record is from RNAcentral.